Molecule: unclassified non-coding RNA, 401 nt
Filed under: Hevea brasiliensis (rubber tree)
Lineage: Eukaryota; Viridiplantae; Streptophyta; Magnoliopsida; Malpighiales; Euphorbiaceae
Source: RNAcentral
GUGGAGUCAAAGCCUUUCCUUAAGAAGGGAAAUGGCAUAGGUCCUGGUGCUGAAACUAAUAUUGCCAAACUGAAAGGUUCAGUGGCAAAUGAGGCUUUGGAAAAUGAAGAAGCAUUUGAAGAAUAUCCCUUUGAGGCAGAAGAUUCAAUCAAUGAAGCAAAAGAAGAAGAUGAGGAGGAGCUAGAAACAACAGAGGUUGAAGAUUCUGCAAACAAUAAAAACGGAAAACUGGGACUAGGCCAGGAAUCUGAUAAGAUGUCUGAUUCUGAGAAUAGUGAUUCUUUGAGAUCUCUUUCUCAAGUUGAUCCUUCUUCAGUUGCUGAACUGCCAGCAUCUGUUCCUUCUACAUUAAACACUGUUGGGUCCUUACAAGACUCACCUGGGGAAAGCCCAGUGUCAUG